UGAUGACAUCUCAGUGUGUCCCUAUGUUUGUGGAAGAAUUAGGUGCACGUAUUUGGCAGGGGGUCUAGGGGUGUUCCCUC
Molecule: long non-coding RNA, 80 nt
Organism: Etheostoma spectabile (orangethroat darter)
Lineage: Eukaryota; Metazoa; Chordata; Actinopteri; Perciformes; Percidae
Exons: 4
Source: RefSeq, a predicted model, not a curated record